AAGACUAUACUUUCAGGGAUCAUUUCUAUAGUUUCUGACUUGAGAAAUGUGUUUCUAAAUUGUUUGGUCUCGCUAACCGCGAUGAUGAGUCGUGAUAUUCCUUUGUGAGCGUGAAGCUGACAGAAAGUAAUGAUUUCGUUCAUGUCUUCUGUCAUUGAUGAUUGUUCUGUACUUCCUCAUAGAAUACUGAAGAAGGGAAUAUGAUCAGAGUGGU
RNAcentral lists this small nucleolar RNA (214 nucleotides) under Sparus aurata (gilthead seabream). RNAcentral describes it as "Small nucleolar RNA U3 (ENSSAUG00010003009.1)". It matches the Rfam family "Small nucleolar RNA U3". From Rfam's summary of the family: Small nucleolar RNAs (snoRNAs) are involved in the processing and modification of rRNA in the nucleolus. There are two main classes of snoRNAs: the box C/D class, and the box H/ACA class. The record is from Rfam by way of RNAcentral. Lineage: Eukaryota; Metazoa; Chordata; Actinopteri; Spariformes; Sparidae.